UAAUAAUUUUUUUGAUUUUAAUUUUUUUUUUUUUAUAAAAGUAAUUUUUUUGUUAUAGUAUUUUUUUUUGAAUUUAAUUAUUUUUUCUAUAGUUGAUUAUGUACUUAAUAGGAUAAUUAAUUUAUUUUUAUGGAAGUAAAUUUAUUUUUUUACCUUUUGUAUCAGGGAUGAUUAAUUUAUUUUAAUUUAUUUUAUUUUCUCGAAUAUAAGCGAUUUAAUUAUUAAAUGUUAUUUAAUGUUGUAUAAUUAUUAAUAAUUUAUUUUUGGUAAUGAUAUGUUAUUCGUUCUUUUUGAUAUCUAGUUUCUUAAGAUUAAAUUUAAUUUUUUAUUAUUUAGUUUUUUUGUGAUUUUGGUUUCAAAUUAUUUUUUAAUAUUAUUUUAUUGGGGAUAAUCUUGAUAUAGUUGUAAUAAUUUUUUUUAAUAAUAAUUUUUGUAGGCUUAGAAUCAGCAUUCAUUUGAUUACGUAAUUGUUUAUUUUAUUAGUUAUUAAAUUUUUUUUUAUUUUAUUUUUUAUUAAGAUUAUUAUUUUAACUACUAAUUUAUUUAAUAAUGAUUAUAUUAGUAUAAUGUUUAUUUUUUUUAUAGGAAUUCAGCAAAAAUUGGUUUUCACCUGUUUAUCAAAAACAUGUCCUUUAGAAUUUAUAUUUAAGGUCUAAUCUGCUCAAUGAUUGUGAUUAAAUAGCCAUGGUAAAUUGACCAUGCAAAGGUAGCAUAAUAAUUAGUCUUUUAAUUGAAGUCUGGUAUGAAUGAUUGAAUGAGAAACUUACUUUCUUUGAAAUUUAAUUUGAAUUUAAUUUUUAAGUGAAAAAGCUUAAAUUUUUUUAAGUGACGAUAAGACCCUAUAGAUCUUGAAAUUUAUUUUAUUAUUAUUAUUUUGGUUUAAUUAUUAAUAUUUUUUAAUUUUAAUAAGUUUUUUGUUGGGGUGAUAAAUAUUAAUUUUAAUAACUUUAUUUUAUUAAUUUCAUUUAUUUAUGUUUAUUUAUGAUCCAUUAUUAUUGAUUAUAAGAAUAAGUUACCUUAGGGAUAACAGCGUAAUUUUUUUGUAGAGUUCAUAUCGAUAAAAAAUUUUGCGACCUCGAUGUUGGAUUAAGAUAAAAUUAGGGGGUAGAUUUUCUAAAUUUAAGUCUGUUCGACUUUUAAAUUCUUACAUGAUCUGAGUUCAGACCGGCGUGAGCCAGGUUGGUUUCUAUCUUUAAAGUUUAUUGAUUAUUUUAGUACGAAAGGACCAAUAUAAUCGAUUAAUAAUUUUUUAUUUGAAUUUUAUUAA
This 1267-nucleotide ribosomal RNA is filed under the name Aeneolamia contigua. Its description in RNAcentral is "16S ribosomal RNA". The stretch from base 1023 to 1181 matches the Rfam family "Archaeal large subunit ribosomal RNA", at positions 2542 to 2701 of the family's 2987-position model. Lineage: Eukaryota; Metazoa; Arthropoda; Insecta; Hemiptera; Cercopidae. The record is from RNAcentral.